AGCCAUGAUGUGGGAAGACGAGUAAGAGUUCCUUAAAAUGUUCCAAACAUUGAAAGAAAGUUUUAUUCUCCUUUUGGGAGAAAUUAAUGAUAUUAUGUCUCAGGUU
Molecule: small nucleolar RNA, 106 nt
Organism: Magnolia sinica
Lineage: Eukaryota; Viridiplantae; Streptophyta; Magnoliopsida; Magnoliales; Magnoliaceae
Source: RefSeq, a predicted model, not a curated record